Molecule: ribosomal RNA, 505 nt
Filed under: uncultured bacterium
Lineage: Bacteria
Description: partial 16S ribosomal RNA
Rfam family: Bacterial small subunit ribosomal RNA
Source: RNAcentral
GACGAACGCUGGCGGCGUGCCUAAUACAUGCAAGUAGAACGCACAGUUUAUACCGUAGCUUGCUACACCAUAGACUGUGAGUUGCGAACGGGUGAGUAACGCGUAGGUAACCUGCCUGGUAGCGGGGGAUAACUAUUGGAAACGAUAGCUAGUACCGCAUAAUAUUAAUUAUUGCAUGAUAAUUAAUUGAAAGGUGCAAUUGCACCACUACCUGAUGGACUUGCGUUGUAUUAGCUAGUAGGUGAGGUAACGGCUCACCUAGGCGACGAUACAUAGCCGACAUGAGAGGGUGAUCGGCCACCCUGGGACGGAGACCCGGCCCAGACGCCUACGGGAGGCAGCAGUAGGGCAUCGUCGGCAAUGGACGAAAGUCUGACCGAGAAACGCCGCGUGAGUGAAGAAGGUUGUCGGAUCGUAAAGCUCUGUUGUAAGAGAAGAACGGGUGUGAGAGUGGAAAGUUCACACUGUGACGGUAUCUUACCAGAAAGGGACGGCUAACUACGUG